Canis lupus familiaris (dog) is the source of this 620-nucleotide long non-coding RNA. RefSeq lists it as uncharacterized. The transcript is spliced from 3 exons. NCBI's taxonomy places the organism in Eukaryota, Metazoa, Chordata, Mammalia, Carnivora, Canidae. The record is from RefSeq and is a predicted model, not a curated record.
GGGGGCGGCCUCCUCCAGGGAUGGACGCGGCCAAGGCGGCCUCCCUCAGGGCUGCCGUCGGUUAGAGCGUCGAGAGCCGUUUCAGCUUGUAACGGGCGCUGCCCUUCCCUGUCUGCCUCUCCCCAGCUCUUGCGGCUCCGUUGGCUUCUCGCGUACCUAGACGGUUAGCAGAAUGAGGUAUUCUAGAUUGAAUAUAAGCAUAAUGAGAUGAUGUUGUAUGGAUUUGGAAAGUCUAAUUUAAAAGAUGUAAAGUGCAAUCAGAAGAAAAUGGUGAAGAUGAUAAAGUUCUGCAAAACAUGCUUAAUGUACAACACCUAAAGGAAAUAAGAAUGUUUAAUCUAGAGAAAAGAUCUGAUAGGAGAGAAAAAGGAAGGAAAAAUAGAUCUGUUUCCACAUGUUAAAAUUGUGCUGAAUGCUUUCUUACUGUUCUCUGUACCUGAACUCAGGCAUGGUCUCCUGCCAACUGUUCCACCCCACCUUCAUCUACUAAAAAGGAUCUUCACAUCAGGCUGACAAUCUUUCCAGCUGGCCUUUCCACUGUGUCCCCAGGGAUGAGCAGGACCUAUGACCCAGCAGGUGGCUAGGACACAUCCCUUCCUCUCUAACAAUUCAUUACAAAG